UUGUUGGUAAGGUAAAGGCUUACCAAGGCUUCGAUCAGUAGCUGGUCUGAGAGGACGGCCAGCCACACUGGGACUGAGACACGGCCCAGACUCCUACGGGAGGCAGCAGUGGGGAAUUUUGGACAAUGGGGGAAACCCUGAUCCAGCCAUGCCGCGUGAGUGAAGAAGGCCUUCGGGUUGUAAAGCUCUUUCAGCCGGAACGAAACGGUUACGGAUAAUACCCGUGACUACUGACGGUACCGGAAGAAGAAGCACCGGCUAACUACGUGCCAGCAGCCGCGGUAAUACGUAGGGUGCGAGCGUUAAUCGGAAUUACUGGGCGUAAAGCGUGCGCAGGUGGUUUUGUAAGUCAGAUGUGAAAGCCCCGGGCUCAACCUGGGAACUGCGUUUGAAACUACAAGACUAGAGUGUGGCAGAGGGGGGUGGAAUUCCGCGUGUAGCAGUGAAAUGCGUAGAGAUGUGGAGGAACACCGAUGGCGAAGGCAGCCCCCUGGGUUAACACUGACACUCAGGCACGAAAGCAUGGGGAGCAAACAGGAUUAGAUACCCUGGUAGUCCAUGCCCUAAACGAUGUCAACUAGUUGUCGGGCCUUUACGGGCUUGGUAACGUAGCUAACGCGUGAAGUUGACCGCCUGGGGAGUACGAUCGCAAGAUUAAAACUCAAAUGAAUUGACGGGGACCCGCACAAGCGGUGGAUUAUGUGGAUUAAUUCGAUGCAACGCGAAAAACCUUACCUACCCUUGACAUGUAUCGAAGCCCGCAGAAAAGCGGGGGUGCCCGAAAGGGAACGAUAACACAGGUGCUGCAUGGCUGUCGUCAGCUCGUGUCGUGAGAUGUUGGGUUAAGUCCCGCAACGAGCGCAACCCUUGUCAUUAAUUGCCGUCAUUUAGUUGGGCACUUUAAUGAGACUGCCGG
Molecule: ribosomal RNA, 916 nt
Filed under: uncultured bacterium
Lineage: Bacteria
Description: bacterial SSU rRNA
Rfam family: Bacterial small subunit ribosomal RNA
Source: RNAcentral